This 101-nucleotide small nuclear RNA is filed under the name Dasypus novemcinctus (nine-banded armadillo). The record is from RNAcentral. Lineage: Eukaryota; Metazoa; Chordata; Mammalia; Cingulata; Dasypodidae.
UUAUUUUGGUAGUACAUAUUCUAAAAUUGUAAUGUUACAGAGAAGAUAAGCAGGCCCCUGAAUAAUGAUGGCACACAUAUUCAGUUUUCUUCCUUGGUAUU